This is a long non-coding RNA of Tyto alba (common barn owl), 502 nucleotides long. RefSeq lists it as uncharacterized. The record is from RefSeq and is a predicted model, not a curated record. The transcript has 3 exons. Lineage: Eukaryota; Metazoa; Chordata; Aves; Strigiformes; Tytonidae.
UGCUCUCUCAGCUCCAACCACCAUCCCUGUGGCUGUGCGGGCUCCUCCAGCAAACGUGGCCCAGAGGGCACUGUCUCAGCGCAGAGGGGGAGACAGUUAAACUGGGCUCAGCCUUUCCUCCCGAGGACAAGGCUCUGUUUGAGCCCACGCCCACCGAUCUCACACUCUCACUAAAUGGCUAGCGACAUCUCGGCUGCCUCAGGCACUGGAAGCCACGGCCCGCACCCACUGUCCCAACCAGUGUAAAUUCUUGCUGUAAAUGGGAACAGAAGUACGUAAAUCCAAACUACAGUGAUGUCUGUCCAGCCUCCUCUGGAAAACAGUGAGUCAGGCCUGUAAAAAUGAGAAGUCCAAGACUAGAAAGAGUAUAGGUUGGGGCAAACCUGAAGGCUAGUGUUGUGAACACUGCUCCUCACCAACAGUCACAGGUAGUAUGACUGUCUCUUAUGUAACUGAAGUUACAAAGAGUUCGAGAGACUUACCAAUAAAAAUAUGUGUCACA